AACUGAUACUACCUGCGGGAACCUGCGGAGGGAUCAUUGUUGAAUAACACAUGAUGGGUUGUCGCUGGCCUUUCGAGGCAUGUGCACACUUGUCUUGUUUUCAUUCAUCCACCUGUGCACUCUGUGUAGUCUUUGAGGUCUGGAAUCAGCCAGCCAUCAGUCAGUUGACUGGAAUAGUGAGCUGCAUGUGUAUCAGUACACAGCUUUUCUACGAUUUGUUGGUUGUGACUUCCCUCAAAG
Molecule: unclassified non-coding RNA, 240 nt
Filed under: soil metagenome
Description: partial contains 5.8S ribosomal RNA, internal transcribed spacer 2, and large subunit ribosomal RNA
Source: RNAcentral